Long non-coding RNA from Magnolia sinica, 331 nucleotides. RefSeq lists it as uncharacterized. The record is from RefSeq and is a predicted model, not a curated record. Lineage: Eukaryota; Viridiplantae; Streptophyta; Magnoliopsida; Magnoliales; Magnoliaceae. The transcript is spliced from 3 exons.
CUCUCCCUCCAUUUUCAAAGUAUCUUUUUCUUUUGGUGUUCUGAGAUGAAAUGGAAUCUGAAAGAAGCAGGUUCAAUGACUUUUCUCUGUCAAUUUCUCUACCGAAAACAGCUCCCUUCCAUCCGUUUCCAUCUCUCUCCUUCAAUCAGGCAUCGGAGAAAUAUAGGUUUGAGUAGUCGCUUGAACACACAAGCCUAUUUAUUGAGAAGCUGGAGAAAGUGUUGGAAUACUACCAUAGGCACGCUGUUCUUCACAAAAAGGGGAUAGAAGUGCCAGUUCUUUCACCCUAUUGCCAUGUGUGGAUGGAGGGUAUGUGCCGAAUCUUAUGCCA